UGGGGAAUUUUGGACAAUGGGCGAAAGCCUGAUCCAGCAAUGCCGCGUGUGUGAAGAAGGCCUUCGGGUUGUAAAGCACUUUUGUCCGGAAAGAAAUCCUUGGCUCUAAUACAGUCGGGGGAUGACGGUACCGGAAGAAUAAGCACCGGCUAACUACGUGCCAGCAGCCGCGGUAAUACGUAGGGUGCAAGCGUUAAUCGGAAUUACUGGGCGUAAAGCGUGCGCAGGCGGUUUGCUAAGACCGAUGUGAAAUCCCCGGGCUCAACCUGGGAACUGCAUUGGUGACUGGCAGGCUAGAGUAUGGCAGAGGGGGGUAGAAUUCCACGUGUAGCAGUGAAAUGCGUAGAGAUGUGGAGGAAUACCGAUGGCGAAGGCAGCCCCCUGGGCCAAUACUGACGCUCAUGCACGAAAGCGUGGGGAGCAAACAGGAUUAGAUACCCUGGUAGUCCACGCCCUAAACGAUGUCAACUAGUUGUUGGGGAUUCAUUUCCUUAGUAACGUAGCUAACGUGUGAAGUUGACCGCCUGGGGAGUACGGUCGCAAGAUUAAAACUCAAAUGAAUUG
This 564-nucleotide ribosomal RNA is filed under the name uncultured bacterium. RNAcentral describes it as "partial 16S ribosomal RNA". It matches the Rfam family "Bacterial small subunit ribosomal RNA", at positions 355 to 912 of the family's 1533-position model. The record is from RNAcentral.